AGCAGCCGCGGUAAUUCCAGCUCCAAUAGCGUAUAUUAAAGUUGUUGCAGUUAAAAAGCUCGUAGUUGAAUUUCGGGAUCAAUAUAUCGGUCAUGCCUUCGGUAUGUACUGGUAUUAUUGAUUUCUACCUUCUGACGAACUAUGAUGUCAUUAAUUUGGUGUCAUAGGGAAUCAGGACUGUUACUUUGAAAAAAUUAGAGUGUUUAAAGCAGGCACACGCUUGAAUACAUUAGCAUGGAAUAAUGAAAUAGGACGUUUGAUCCUAUUUUGUUGGUUUUAGGAUCGACGUAAUGAUUAAUAGGGAUAGUUGGGGGCAUUAGUAUUCAAUUGUCAGAGUGAAAUUCUUGGAUUUAUCGAAGACUAACUACUGCGAAAGCAUUUGCCA
Molecule: ribosomal RNA, 385 nt
Filed under: uncultured Glomus
Lineage: Eukaryota; Fungi; Glomeromycota; Glomeromycetes; Glomerales; Glomeraceae
Description: SSU rRNA
Rfam family: Eukaryotic small subunit ribosomal RNA
Source: RNAcentral